Molecule: ribosomal RNA, 481 nt
Filed under: uncultured bacterium
Lineage: Bacteria
Description: partial 16S ribosomal RNA
Rfam family: Bacterial small subunit ribosomal RNA
Source: RNAcentral
GACGAACGCUGGCGGCGUGCUUAACACAUGCAAGUCGAGCGGAAAGGCCACUUCGGUGGUACUCGAGCGGCGAACGGGUGAGUAACACGUGAGUAAUCUGCCCCUGGCUUUGGGAUAACCACCGGAAACGGUGAUUAAUACCUGAUACGACCACUUCUCGCAUGGGAUGGUGGUGGAAAUUUUUUUCGGCCAGGGAUGUGCUCGCGGCCUAUCAGCUUGAUGGUGAGGUAAUGGCUCACCAUGGCUUCGACGGGUAGCCGGCCUGGGAGGGUGACCGGUCACACUGGGACUGAGACACGGCCCAGACUCCUACGGGAGGCAGCAGUGGGGAAUAUUGGACAAUGGGCGGAAGCCUGAUCCAGCAACGCCGCGUGAGGGAUGACGGCCUUCGGGUUGUAAACCUCUUUCAGCAGGGACGAAGCGCAAGUGACGGUACCUGCAGAAGAAGCACCGGCCAACUACGUGCCAGCCGCCGCAGUAA